GAAAAAAUGAAGGAGCUUUUAUUUUAACCCAUUCUCAGCAUUUCUUCUCUUCAAUUUCGUCCCAAAGCAAGAAAGGGAAUAAAGCAGCCAUGAUCCAUUCCUUAAGUCCUUUCCAUUCCAAAAAGAAAGUCAAGAAAAUCAGCCUUUGCUCCUUCUUCUGCCUUCCAUCCGAACCACAAAAAAAGAAGAAAAACAAAGCAAACCUUCACUCUCAAAUUAGUAACAUGCCAAAAGAAGUAGAACAAAUAAAAAAAAUUAGCAUCUAAUUUGGGAAAAAUUUGAAAGCAUUAGCGCAAUAAGAGGUUAUUUUUUCAUCAAGCCUUGGAUUGCAUCAAACAAGCUUUGAUUGGAAGGUAAUUUAUGCAUAUGCUUAAAAAUUCAUGAACUAAAAAUAGUUAAUGUCUUGUAUAGUAUGUAUUGCUCUGUUGUGCUAUGAAUUGGCAACGUGGGGUGUUGUGUUUGUUGUGCGGAGUAAUAAGGAUGAAAAUAUACGGCUGAACUUCAUACCAAUACUUGUGAAAUCUGUUUUUUUAAAACCUUGCCCUUGUGAUGUUUGGUAAAACACCUAAAAGAGGAUUAAUGCUUAAAAAUCAAAAAUUAAGCAAAGUUUGGGGCUAGGUAACCUUUAUAUAUGUGUUGUGAUGUUAACUAAGUUGAUUGAGUGAAUCAAAUCAAGUUCAAUUAAAGUUUUAAAGAAUUUCUAAAAUCUUGAAGUGAAUGAAAAACUGAGAUGAGGGGGCAUAUUGGAGCCUCUUUAAUAUCAUCUUAAUGAACCUAAAUUGGUCAUGCUAUAUUUUUUUAAAAUACUAUGUAGUACCAUGUAGAACAUAUUAAAAUUUGAAGUCAAUCGGAUUUGUAGUUGUGAGAUAAAAAAUGGAAAAUUGUCAAGGAAAAUAAGGAAAAAUUUGGAAUUUUGGGCUGAGCACAGAGGCGCUGGCCUGGGGCUGGGCUAAGCCAAAAUGGGCAAAAUUAGGACAGUUUUAGCAUCCCUUAAUAAAAUGGGCAUAACUUUUUCAUAUAAACUCCGAUUGAGAUGAUUCAAGAUGAUUUUGAAAGCUAAGAAGUAGAAAUACAAUUUUCAUUCUUUAAGAAUUUAGAGAUAAGGCCUGGAGCAGGGUCAAAAUUGUCCAUUUUUGGGAAUGCUGGGCAAUCAGAGGGGAGGGUGUCGGGCGGGCGCGUAUGCAACGUGCAAUGCUUCCGACAAUAAAAGACAUUUUUCUAAGUUCUAAAAGACGAAAAAUAAUGAAAUGUAGAGAUGUUUAACAUUAAUCAAUAAGGUAUUAGACAAGUUGUAUAAUCAUGAUAAGCGAAUCGGGCGUGUGAUGUAUAAACGUUGAAAAUCCGUGUCAAGUGUAAAUGAACUUAAAAAUCGUUUCGAUUCAAAUAAAACUGAAAUUUUAAGAUAUUGAAAGGGUUAAUGUAAACCAAUAAGGAGGGAUGAUUGUGAGGGUCGUGACGUUCCUGAACGACGCGACGUCGAGAGAUGUUUUGAAAUUGAUCGUGUUAAUUAAACUAUAAUGUGCGAAAAAUAUGAAAUAAGAAAUAAUAUAACGUGAACCAAUUUGAGUGUAAUUAAGUGACUAAUUGGUAUGUUCAACCUUAAUGAUAUAUGUUGGUUGUUCGAAAAGCUACAGGCGGUAAAAGAGAAUAUAAGGAAAGUUUUUUUUAGUAACUUGUAGACUUGUUUGAAUACGAUGAUAUACAUGAUUUGGUUUCCUAGCUAUGUGCCAAUUUCUCAAUAUUAUGUGAAUUGCUUGUGAGUAUGAUCAAGGUAUGCACAUUGUGCAAUAAUGUGAUUAUAUUGUUCUAUAUGGAAUCUGAAACUCUGAAAAUAUACAAUAUGGGAUAUAUGAUGCAAAUAAAAAGCGCAUGCUAUGAGAUGUAUGAUGCAUAUGUAGACGCAUUGCAUAAGAUUUAUGAUGCAUGUAUACGAUGUAGAGCAUGAGGAACAUGUUACAUGAAUUAAAUGUGAGUUUAUAUGCUACGUGAAACAUGAAAACUGUUAGACUUGUUGGGCCGUCGUGCUCAACCUUGCAAAAUAUAAAAUUUGCAGAUGAAAGUUGAUUUAUUAGAGGGAUAUAGCAAUGAAGGUUCGAAACACGACAUGAUUAGAAAAGGUUUAUUGUUUCAUUGAGAUUAACUUAUGCCAAGCCAACACUACUUGUUGUAAUGUAAUCGUAUUGAAUUGUACCAAAUUUAAUAUACUCAAUAAAUAGAUGAUGAGUAAAAGUAUUCGUUUGAAUACGAUAUGUAACUUUACAAUUACUUUGUAAAGUGAACUAAUAUAAUGGCAAUGGUGUGUGUAAAGGAUGAUGUAUAG
RNAcentral lists this long non-coding RNA (2320 nucleotides) under Panax ginseng (ginseng). Its description in RNAcentral is "long non-coding RNA (PGIN_LNC006977)". The record is from RNAcentral. Lineage: Eukaryota; Viridiplantae; Streptophyta; Magnoliopsida; Apiales; Araliaceae.